This 69-nucleotide transfer RNA is filed under the name Hydroscapha granulum. RNAcentral describes it as "tRNA-Val". The record is from RNAcentral. Lineage: Eukaryota; Metazoa; Arthropoda; Insecta; Coleoptera; Hydroscaphidae.
CAAAUUAGAGCUUGUUGUUAAGCAUGUUAUUUACAUUAAUAUGAAGUCGUUCAAAUCGAUAUAAUUUGA